Molecule: non-coding RNA, 1517 nt
Organism: Hydra vulgaris (swiftwater hydra)
Lineage: Eukaryota; Metazoa; Cnidaria; Hydrozoa; Anthoathecata; Hydridae
Source: RefSeq, a predicted model, not a curated record
UUAAAAUUGGUUUAGAUCACGUUUAGAUGGCAUUUACGUCGAUCUAAACGUUUAGGAAUCUAAUCUAAACGUGUUCUGAAUAUUUAAUUUGCGUUGAAAAGCUAAAUCAAACAAUUUCCGUACGGAACUAACUAAAUUAAAUUAGUUUCUUACAAAAUGUGUCGGACAUUUUGAAUCUUUCAUUAUGAUUAAAAAUUAGAGUUUCUUAUUAAUCUUAAAUUAUGUAAUAAAGGUUUAGAAAAAAUAAAAGAAAUUUGUUUUUAGUAUUAUAUUGUGGCUAAUGAAGGAGUUAAAAAGUCCUUCCAGUCAGUUGCAACAACAAUUAAAGCAGCAGGAAACAGCCAAGUACACAUGCAAGUGAUUGUUAUGAGGAUUGCAAAACUUUUAAAUAUCAGAAACUGAAGAAAGCAUUCAUAAUCAGCAGAUAUCAAAAAAGCGCAAAAGUACUGAUUUUACAACUCUUUUAAAGUUGAGGAAGAAUUUUAUGUUAAUGUUAAUGCAAAAGGUACGAAUAUUGACAGGUUAGCUAAUUUGAUGUAACAAUAAACAUGAAAUAAAGUUUGUGAAGACCUUAGUGCCAAAAAUACUUGCAUGCAUUAUUCAUGCAUGCUGUAUUAUAAUAUAGCAUGCAUGCAUGAUGCAUUUAAGUAUAAAAAAAAGUUACAAAUGUUUAAUUAUACAAAAAGAUUAUGGUUGUGGUACUGCAAGUAUAUUCAAUUGAUUAUGCAAGUAAGUUGUCCUACUUUACAUCUUUGAAGACUAAUAAUAAUUGUAAUGAACAUAUCUCAGACAAUAUACACUCGGAUUUAUAUUUUAGUUAAACCAUCACCACUUCCACAGCCACCUUGUCUCAAGCAUUAAAUCGCAUUCUAAGAUAUCUUUAUUCAAAUUAAUUGUGACUACUUUACCAAAAGAUUCUAGAAUGGACCAAUCAAGUAAGAUGUCUAAAUCUAUAUCUUUUAUAUAGAACUCCUUUAUUUUUAAAUAAACCUGUUAAUUUUAUGACUUAUGAACAUAUUUAGCAAUGUAAUCCUUUUAGGAUAGACUUUAAAAUCACAUUUACAAUGUUUUAGUAAAUUUUUAUUUAAAAUAACUUUGUAUACAUAAUAUAUCUAUAUAGUUAUUUACAUAAUAGCUAACCCAUCAGUACUUGCAAAGUCUCUUUUUCUGUAAGCCCAAAAAUUGAGUUCUAAAAUACCAUUAUCCACAUAACUACUUUAUCAAAGUACAAUCUAAUGGAUUGAUCAAAAAAGAGAUUGUAUGACUUCGGUAUCCGCAAUACGGUAUCGUGCAUUGAUUUCCAUCUUAGAAUGGCUCUCUUCCGUAUAGGUGGAAAUAGGAUAGGUUGUGUCCUUUUUUCUAGUUCUUAAGACGAAGAGGCUUAAUCGGUUCAAACAAAGAUGACGAUGAUCAUUAUGGAGCCGAUCAUGAUGACGAAUACGAUAAUGCAUAUAAUAAUAAAUAAAAUGUUUUUACUUGUAUCUUAGACUUAUAUAAAUAAAAAAUUAUUUGUUUAA